UGGGGAAUAUCGCACAAUGGGGGAAACCCUGAUGCAGCAACGCCGCGUGCGGGAUGACGGCCUUCGGGUUGUAAACCGCUUUCAGCCAUGACGAAGCUUUUGUGACGGUAGUGGCAGAAGAAGCACCGGCUAACUACGUGCCAGCAGCCGCGGUGAUACGUAGGGUGCGAGCGUUGUCCGGAAUUAUUGGGCGUAAAGAGCUUGUAGGCGGUUUGUCGCGUCGAAAGUGUAAACUCAGUGCUUAACGCUGAGCCUGCUUUCGAUACGGGCUGACUAGAGGAAGGUAGGGGAGAAUGGAAUUCCCGGUGGAGCGGUGGAAUGCGCAGAUAUCGGGAGGAACACCAGUGGCGAAGGCGGUUCUCUGGACCUUUCCUGACGCUGAGAAGCGAAAGCGUGGGUAGCAAACAGG
This 409-nucleotide ribosomal RNA is filed under the name bacterium. Its description in RNAcentral is "partial 16S ribosomal RNA". It matches the Rfam family "Bacterial small subunit ribosomal RNA", at positions 355 to 776 of the family's 1533-position model. The record is from RNAcentral.